CUUGCCACAAGGUUUUGGCACAAGAGCAGAAUGAAAAAUAGACUAAUGAGCUAGAUGGCUCUCUCGCCAAGAGCCAAAAAAGGUUUUGGUUCAAUUGGGACAGUCUAGCGAGCCAUGAUGGGAUCCAAGUGACCACCGACCCGUUAUCCUUCCACUGCCAAGAGCGGGAGGUAGUCGUUGCUCUGUGAAGCCAGCCUUACGCGGUUCCCUCCGCUCUAGAAACCAAGUAACCCAGAGCCUUCGCUCGAGCCACAGGGUUCAACUCCUGGCUUGGAAUGGGCGGGCCAGUAAAUAGCCAACCCGAACCCGACCAGCUAAUACUGAGCCAAUGUUCCAGCACCUCAAAGCCCCCACUCGGGUUACAAGCUUGCGUUACAAAGCUCG
This 384-nucleotide long non-coding RNA is filed under the name Prunus dulcis (almond). RNAcentral describes it as "sRNA ncRNA". Lineage: Eukaryota; Viridiplantae; Streptophyta; Magnoliopsida; Rosales; Rosaceae. The record is from RNAcentral.